Molecule: non-coding RNA, 100 nt
Organism: Acanthosepion pharaonis
Lineage: Eukaryota; Metazoa; Mollusca; Cephalopoda; Sepiida; Sepiidae
Source: the annotation of a GenBank genome assembly
CGUUGAAACAUUGUUUCCCGUGCGAUCACUGAAGGUAAGGAAUGCAGAGCCUGGUCAGUACCUAGAUGGGUGACCGCUUGGAAAUACCAGGUGAUGUAAG